UCCCGACUCUAUUUGGUGGGGCGGAGAAAAAGGAAAAAGCGUGUGUGGAAAGUUAGUGUGUCCCCGUCCGUGUCCCUGUCCGUGUCCUCCGCCCUCGCAGUCGCUGGCCGAUCGUCCGCACUCCGCACUCCGCCCUCCGCCCAGCGGCUCGAAUGGCGCUCCGCUCCGCUCCGCUCCGGCGCUCAAACAAGUGCGACGCCUCCGCUCUUAGCGGCAAUUUCAAACGGCCGGCUGGAUAUGUGGCACCGAACUCCGGCGACAUUCACACACACACAUCUGUGCACAAGGGACUUGUUUUCCUGGAUGUGUCCUGAGCCCCAGACGGCCCGGCCACGGUAUCAUUUGAAGACCAGGGAGAAAAUCGAAAGAAAUGAGGACCAUGACUUAUCUACCGGACGAGGGAAGCAAAGCUGACCUUUCAUGACUGGAGCCAAUAUGAGGGAAAGACGUGUCAACGAGGGCGAAGCAACUGAUGUGUUAAUUUGACAGGAAGUUUGAUGCCACCAUUUGUUAAGGUGCAGGAUCACCUUGUAUGCAUGAUGACAGGAAUCCAAAGAAAUGAAGCCAUGAUGACUGCAAGUGUUUGCUGGAAUGGAGCAGCCUUUUCACACUGGACACGCUUGUUCGUAAAAGCACCCCGAACUUGGAAAGGAAACGCCCCCAGUUUGCUUCCCUCGCACAUCGGAUGCGGCUAGAGUGCACUUGAAAAUGGGCCGAGGACACUUUCAUCUUUGGAAGUGCAAGGAGAAUGCUGACGUUGUCUUUCAUACUACUGGGUGCUGGGAAAACACACACCGCUUUUCUUGAACUGUUCUUUUUUUUGCCUUUAUCCACGAAGAACAGGAGCAAUGGUAAAAUGACUGUUUCUUCACCUGAUUGGAAAAUGUUUCUUGAAUUGUACUUUCCAGGAUGGAUUUUCACUUCCUCCCCAUAGUCUCUUUUUGCCUCAGACAUCGCAUUUUGACUCGAACGACAGCGGAGAACUCACCUGCACAUACAACAAGUGUUAGUUGUAAGCAGAAACGGUGUGUACAGGUAACUCAGUUGAUAAGAGAGCCACCUUUUCAGUGUCCUGGGGAUGUUGGCUUCAAUUACCUCCAGAAGAUGAAGCCUUUGCCUCAUUCUGAAAGGCAAAUUUUUCCUGAAACAAGGUGAACUUGGGCAAUAAAUUCAAGUUUUGUGAAUAAAACACACACCUUCAACAUAUGUCAUCCUUUUCCUUGAAGAUUUGCAUUUUAGUUGUAACAAAAAAAAGAAAACAAAUCCAGAACUGAUGACCUACAAAUAAAGCAUAGACUGUACACCCAAAGGAUUUAUUUCAACUCUUUUUCUUCAAAAAUAAUAUUAACCAAAUCAAUAGUCAGCCCAUUCUUCUCCAUAUUUCUCUUUGUUGCUGCAUUGUUAAACCUUACUUGGAGUCAUUCUAAAACAUAUAUUACUAUAGAUUGUGUGUGCAUUUUGAGACAACAAAUGAUUUAUUCAUUCGAUUUGUUCCUUUGCACAAUCACAAGCCUGUUGACAAUGGAUACCAGUC
This is a long non-coding RNA of Scleropages formosus (Asian bonytongue), 1534 nucleotides long. RefSeq lists it as uncharacterized. The record is from RefSeq and is a predicted model, not a curated record. The transcript is spliced from 4 exons. NCBI's taxonomy places the organism in Eukaryota, Metazoa, Chordata, Actinopteri, Osteoglossiformes, Osteoglossidae.